GGAGAGGUGCUGGAGUGGCCGAACAGGGCUGCCUGCUAAGCAGUUAUCCCGCCAAAAGCGGGAUCGGGGGUUCGAAUCCCCCCCUCUCCGCCA
Molecule: transfer RNA, 93 nt
Filed under: Acidobacteriota bacterium
Lineage: Bacteria; Pseudomonadati; Acidobacteriota
Also listed under: 1 other name
Description: Acidobacteria bacterium tRNA-Ser
Rfam family: tRNA
About the family: Transfer RNA (tRNA) molecules are approximately 80 nucleotides in length.
Source: RNAcentral